AUAAUUAUAGCUUAAGAAAAGCGUUGAUUUUGUAAAUCAAAUAUGUGUAAUACUAAUU
This 58-nucleotide transfer RNA is filed under the name Laeocathaica amdoana. RNAcentral's name for it is "tRNA-Thr". Lineage: Eukaryota; Metazoa; Mollusca; Gastropoda; Stylommatophora; Camaenidae. The record is from RNAcentral.